CAGUCGCCGCGGUAAAACGUAGGUCCCGAGCGUUGUCCGGAUUUAUUGGGCGUAAAGCGAGCGCAGGCGGUUAGAUAAGUCUGAAGUUAAAGGCUGUGGCUUAACCAUAGUACGCUUUGGAAACUGUUUAACUUGAGUGCAAGAGGGGAGAGUGGAAUUCCAUGUCUAGCGGUGAAAUGCGUAGAUAUAUGGAGGAACACCGGUGGCGAAAGCGGCUCUCUGGCUUGUAACUGACGCUGAGGCUCGAAAGCGUGGGGAGCAAACAGGAUUAGAUACCCCUGUAGUCCCUGUCUCUUAUACA
This 301-nucleotide ribosomal RNA is filed under the name uncultured bacterium. Its description in RNAcentral is "partial 16S ribosomal RNA". It matches the Rfam family "Bacterial small subunit ribosomal RNA", at positions 509 to 808 of the family's 1533-position model. The record is from RNAcentral.